This 237-nucleotide long non-coding RNA is filed under the name Bos taurus (domestic cattle). RNAcentral describes it as "long non-coding RNA NONBTAT011854". Lineage: Eukaryota; Metazoa; Chordata; Mammalia; Artiodactyla; Bovidae. The record is from RNAcentral.
GUGGGUAAGGAAUAUAUACCCUUCAUUAAGGGCUAUUCUGGGCUGUACCAGGUCUGUCUUUUAGGCCACUGUCCCAGUAAGGCUGACCUGUGACCAUGUAAAAUGGUCCUGUGGGUUUUUACGUUAGGUCCUUAAAAUUUUAUUCUGCUUCAGUCCGAGGCCAGGUUCAGUCUGACAUGGUAUAGAUAUGUGUCCUUGCCUGUCCUUUCCUACUAAGACAUCCUGUAUACAGGAACU